RNAcentral lists this ribosomal RNA (497 nucleotides) under uncultured bacterium. RNAcentral describes it as "partial 16S ribosomal RNA". It matches the Rfam family "Bacterial small subunit ribosomal RNA", at positions 28 to 507 of the family's 1533-position model. The record is from RNAcentral.
GAUGAACGCUGGCGGCGUGCCUAAUACAUGCAAGUCGAGCGAACAGAUGAGGAGCUUGCUCCUCUGACGUUAGCGGCGGACGGGUGAGUAACACGUGGAUAACCUACCUAUAAGACUGGGAUAACUUCGGGAAACCGGAGCUAAUACCGGAUAAUAUAUUGAACCGCAUGGUUCAAUAGUGAAAGACGGUUUUGCUGUCACUUAUAGAUGGAUCCGCGCCGCAUUAGCUAGUUGGUAAGGUAACGGCUUACCAAGGCAACGAUGCGUAGCCGACCUGAGAGUGUGAUCGGCCACACUGGAACUGAGACACGGUCCAGACGCCUACGGGAGGCAGCAGUAGGGAAUCUUCCGCAAUGGGCGAAAGCCUGACGGAGCAACGCCGCGUGAGUGAUGAAGGUCGUCGGAUCGUAAAACUCUGUUAUUAGGGAAGAACAAAUGUGUAAGUAACUAUGCACGUCUUGACGGUACCUAAUCAGAAAGCCACGGCUAACUACGUG